AUCUUUACCUGACAGGGGAGAUGCCAGGCAAAGGAUUGUCUACUGCAGUCUACAUGUGUUGUGAUUUCUCCAAAUUUGUGAAACUUGAUUGUAUAAUUUUUGAUAGUGAGGGACUGUAUUCAUGCUCUCCCCUGG
This 135-nucleotide small nuclear RNA is filed under the name Mus caroli (Ryukyu mouse). Its description in RNAcentral is "predicted gene, 24725 (MGP_CAROLIEiJ_G0034842.1)". It matches the Rfam family "U1 spliceosomal RNA". From Rfam's summary of the family: U1 is a small nuclear RNA (snRNA) component of the spliceosome (involved in pre-mRNA splicing). Its 5' end forms complementary base pairs with the 5' splice junction, thus defining the 5' donor site of an intron. The record is from RNAcentral. Lineage: Eukaryota; Metazoa; Chordata; Mammalia; Rodentia; Muridae.